AUCGUGAGGUGUAGGCGAGAAGAAGGGAUAGCGAAAUCGUAGCCCUACGAACAGGAACUUAAUACUAAGGCAUAUUUGGCGGAUGAGUUGGCACAAAGCAACAAAGUCCAAAAGGGAACCGUAACCUAAAUAUGUAAAUUAAGAGGGUAGACGAGGAA
This 158-nucleotide non-coding RNA is filed under the name bovine gut metagenome. The record is from RNAcentral.